RNAcentral lists this unclassified non-coding RNA (314 nucleotides) under Hevea brasiliensis (rubber tree). The record is from RNAcentral. Lineage: Eukaryota; Viridiplantae; Streptophyta; Magnoliopsida; Malpighiales; Euphorbiaceae.
GGGAUCUUUCUUAUUACAAAAAAAUGCAGAGAUGUAUGUUACUGUGAACCAUAAAAGUAUAUGAAAGACAAAUACAAUGCACAUUUCCUUUUGUAUUUACAAUUUCUUUUUAAAAAUUAAACAUUCCUAACCUUUCAAGUCGCAACCCUAAGCUUUAUCUUAUUAUAAACAAUAGGUCCCCAUGUAGCUGCCACUAGCUCUAUCUUCAAUUACUUUUAGUGUAUACUCUUUACCCUCUCAAACACCUUUUUUUGUUUAUCCAACUCGCUUAAUUUAUUAUAAUAUCGUUGAAUUCUACUAAGCCUGAUAUUCUU